Molecule: ribosomal RNA, 496 nt
Filed under: Bothriechis supraciliaris
Lineage: Eukaryota; Metazoa; Chordata; Lepidosauria; Squamata; Viperidae
Description: partial 16S large subunit ribosomal RNA
Rfam family: Bacterial large subunit ribosomal RNA
Source: RNAcentral
GUAUUAAAGGCAACGCCUGCCCAGUGAAAAUUAAACGGCCGCGGUAACCUAACCGUGCAAAGGUAGCAUAAUCAUUUGUCUAUUAAUUGUAGACCUGUAUGAAAGGCAAAAUGAGAGCCCAACUGUCUCUUUUAACAAAUCAAUUAAACUGAUCUCCUAGUACAAAAGCUAGAAUACUAACAUAAGACCAGAAGACCCUGUGAAGCUUUAACUAACCUAUUAAACCCAAUAAUAAUUACUUUCGGUUGGGGCGACCUUGGAACAAAAAAGAACUUCCAACAUAUGACUAAUCAUAAAACAAGGCAAACAAGCCACACCAGACCCAGCACAGCUGAUAACUGAAAUAAGUUACUCCAGGGAUAACAGCGCCAUCUUCUUUAAGAGCCCAUAUCAAAAAGAAGGUUUACGACCUCGAUGUUGGAUCAGGACAUCCCAGUAAUGCAACCGUUACUAAAGGUUCGUUUGUUCAACGAUUAACAGUCCCACGUGAUCUGAG